Molecule: ribosomal RNA, 279 nt
Filed under: uncultured bacterium
Lineage: Bacteria
Description: partial 16S ribosomal RNA
Rfam family: Bacterial small subunit ribosomal RNA
Source: RNAcentral
UGCCAGCAGCCGCGGUAAUACGAGGGGUGCUAGCGUUGUUCGGAAUUAUUGGGCGUAAAGCGUGCGUAGGCGGUUUAAUAAGUCAGCUGUGAAAGCCCAGGGCUCAACUUUGGAAUUGCAGUUGAAACUGUUAGGCUAGAGUAUGGAGCGGGAUAGUGGAAUUCCUAGUGUAGGGGUGAAAUCCGUAGAUAUUAGGAGGAACACCGGUGGCGAAAGCGACUAUCUGGGACGGAACUGACGCUGAUGAACGAAAGCUAGGGUAUCAAACGGGAUUAGAUA